Non-coding RNA from Styela clava, 1122 nucleotides. The record is from RefSeq and is a predicted model, not a curated record. Lineage: Eukaryota; Metazoa; Chordata; Ascidiacea; Stolidobranchia; Styelidae.
UCUAAUGGUACCGGUACCCUAAGUGCGUUGUCAGGUCACGGUUCAUAAGGGUGAUACGGUACCAUACCGGUAAAAGUUACAUAUUUAUCCCUGGACACCGUAGGUACCGGUAACGAAAGAACGAGAUGAGGUAUAACUUUUUACGCCACACAUGCGAGAUGCGACAUGGCCCGCCAGUCUAGAUGCGCAAAAUUUUUGCACGCGGUCCGAGACUUUGCCCAACCCUGUUCUAGUUCAUAUUUUCAGCUUUGUUGAGAAAUAAAUUACUGAUUUCUGAAUUAUAUUUUGUUUUAAAUUUCAAUAGAAUUAUAUUGGGUAUAUUUAUAUAAUUUAUUUUCAGUAUGUAUGCUAUGUAAGCUUACCCAACCAACCUUAAUUAAGUGUUAUUAUAUUUUAAAGUGAAUUGGAAAGUAGACCACUAGCAAAAAAGAUUCGGGCGACUGGGCGAAGCCCAUCUCUGUACAAUGACUGUCAAAUGUGCAUGCAACUGUGCAAUGCCCAGCGACUCUAAAAGCAUGAAGUAUUGUACGACACAUCCUUUACAAAUAUUUGAACAUAUUUUGUGACCUAUGACAAUGGACUGGAAAAUUCACCUGCUCCAAUUCCCUCUUUCACGCAAUCAUACACUGUGUCAUUUCAGACAUCUCAAUGUUUCAAUGCGGACAAUGCCCAAAACAGAGAUUAAGCCAUGCUCCAAUCCAGUCAAUGGAAAAAUUGUUGGGACAGGCGGUAGAAACUCUGAUGCUACAAGCUACGGCAUCUGCAACUUUCCACUGAUUGUAGUGUGGACUCGGACAUACCGGAAUUGAUGAAAUUCAUUGUCAAUUCAUUGUCUGAUUACAUUUUGAUCCAGAAUACAUUCAAGGAUGAAAAAAUGGUUUAUAAGAUAUUUGUCAAGUCUCGGAGGUUGCUCCAAGAAAGACUGGUUUCGAAAAUCAUGAGCUCGGUUAUAACAAAUUUACUCUCCCGCUCUUUCAACUGUGCAGGACGCGGUGGAUAAGAAGGAGUGAGUGGGACGCCCUUAGUUUCUGCUAUUAAAGCUCUGGAUGAUCUGGCAACGAACUUCGAUUAAUUUUAUUACAUGUAUACAUAUUUGUAAAAUAAAGACAUUUUGUUAUCUUU